Molecule: long non-coding RNA, 1391 nt
Organism: Pungitius pungitius (ninespine stickleback)
Lineage: Eukaryota; Metazoa; Chordata; Actinopteri; Perciformes; Gasterosteidae
Exons: 5
Source: RefSeq, a predicted model, not a curated record
AAGAACCAGCACCACUUUCUGUGUUUCCCGUGCUGUUGGUUGUUGGUCUGGUUUCUGGAGUUUUACUGAUUAUUCUCCUGCUGCUGUUUCUGUGUUUCUACAGAAAGUCAAAAGCUUCAAGCCUCAGCAGGUCUCAGAGGACCAAUCAGAGCCCAGCUACAGACCACAUGAUCAACCAGGGUGAAACUCAAGACGGACAUUACACUUCUCUUCUUCCUGGUGAUUCUUGUGUCUAUGAAACACUCAGAGGCUCUGAAGAACCUGAACAUGGUGCAGUACAUCCUGUGUGUUCAUCACACAGCUGUUAAAUACUAGAAUCACAUGAUCAAGUGACUGGUUGACCAUCCUUUAAAUUAAAGACAAAGUGUAUCGAUGAUGUCACAGAUUCUGUGUUUGAGCUCAAAGACAUUGAUGGCUAAUGUGAACACUUCUAUAAGGGAACAACCUGCAGUAGUUGAGAUGCUUUUGGAGGCCAGCAGAGCUUUAAUAAAGGAGAAUAAAGUGUCUCUUCAUGCAUUCAUCUGAUCCUUCUAACAGGGACGCACCAAUGAUGCACCAGAGGAGAGAGAUUACCAAAAUGUGGAUGGAACCAGCUGCAGAUGAAUAAAACACCUGCAUGGACAGAACCAGGGGAACGGAUGACGACAUGAAAAACCACAUCUUUGUCUUUUGAAUAAUCAUUGAAUGAACUUCUUUCCUGAUAUGAGAAAGUAUUUUGUAGUUAUAUUACAUAUACAUCAUAUGUCUUUAAAGAGUUUAGUGGCUGAAAAUAGUUGAUUAUUACAUAUACUUAUUCAAAUGUUGAAGUUGAUUGUGCACUGUACAUGUUUUCUGCUCUGUCACUUUGUUUUUUAAAACUUUUUUUAAUGAAGGCUUGUUUGAAAAGCAGAAAAAAUAAGUUUGACGUUUUUGAGCUUCAGUAGGUUGGUGAUAUUAUUCAAUAUAUCUUUUCUUUUAUUUCUGAUACAUUUCUUACACAUUUAAUCUGUUAUUGGACACAUAUUUCUCCAACAUUUGAGUUUAUCUUUGUCUUUUUAACAGUUUUAAGGUACUUUUUGUGUUUUAUCUUCACCUGCUUGUGUUUAACACAUUUUCUAAUGUUUAAUCUUUUUAUGCAUCAAUAAACUUGCAGCUCUAAGUGUCACGGUUUGGUUCUGCUUCCUGUCUUAUUUUGUAAUUUUCAUGUCUCUUGUGUUCCUGGGUAACUUCACUUCCUGCCUUGUCCUGUCUUCCCCUGUGAUUGUCUGCUGUGUCAAUGAUUGUUUCCACCUGCCUUGUGUAUUUAAGCCCUGUCAGUCUCUUGUCUCAUGUCUAGUCAUUGUUUCCUGUCACCUGUUCAGGUUGGUCUGUCGCUUAUGUUUUUGGUAAAUAUUAAAGAGCACUUUAUUUAU